GGGAGGCAGCAGGCGGGAAUAUUGUACACUGCACGAAAGUGCGAUACAGCGACGCCGCGUGGGGGAAGACGCUUCUCGAAGUGUAAACCUCGAACGGGUAGGGACGAACGCCGCUCGGUUAAUACCCGGGCGGUCUGACGGUACCUGCUACGAAGCUCCGGCCAACUCCGUGCCAGCAGCCGCGGUAAUACGGGGGGAGCGAGCGUUGUUCGGAAUUACUGGGCGUAAAGGGCGUCUAGGUGGACCACCAAGUCAGAGGUGAAAUCUCCCGGCUCAACCGGGAGCCUGCCUUUGAAACUGAUGGUCUUGAGUGCGGGAGAGGUAUGGGGAAUUCCCAGUGUAGCGGUGAAAUGCGUAGAUAUUGGGAGGAACGCCGGUGGCGAAGGCGCCAUACUGGCCUAGCACUGACACUGAAGCGCGAAAGCGUGGGGAGCAAACAGGAUUAGAUACCC
Molecule: ribosomal RNA, 452 nt
Filed under: uncultured bacterium
Lineage: Bacteria
Description: bacterial SSU rRNA
Rfam family: Bacterial small subunit ribosomal RNA
Source: RNAcentral